RNAcentral lists this ribosomal RNA (142 nucleotides) under Clostridium uliginosum. RNAcentral describes it as "23S rRNA. Bacterial LSU". It matches the Rfam family "Bacterial large subunit ribosomal RNA", at positions 2785 to 2925 of the family's 2925-position model. The record is from RNAcentral. Lineage: Bacteria; Bacillati; Bacillota; Clostridia; Eubacteriales; Clostridiaceae.
GCGUGAAGCCUCCUUCAAGAUGAGAUUUCCCAUAGCGUAAGCUAGUAAGACCCCUUGAAGACUACAAGGUUGAUAGGUCAGAGGUGUAAGUAUGGCAACAUAUUUAGCUGACUGAUACUAAUAGGUCGAGGGCUUGACCAAU